GGGGUGCCUAAUACAUGCAAGUCGAGCGAACAGACGAGGAUUUUGCUCCUCUGACGUUAGCGGCGGACGGGUGAGUAACACGUGGAUAACCUACCUAUAAGACUGGGAUAACUUCGGGAAACCGGAGCUAAUACCGGAUAACAUGUUGAACCGCAUGGUUCAACAGUGAAAGACGGUCUUGCUGUCACUUAUAGAUGGAUCCGCGCCGCAUUAGCUAGUUGGUAAGGUAACGGCUUACCAAGGCAACGAUGCGUAGCCGACCUGAGAGGGGGAUCGGCCACACUGGAACUGAGACACGGUCCAGACUCCUACGGGAGGCAGCAGUAGGGAAUCUUCCGCAAUGGGCGAAAGCCUGACGGAGCAACGCCGCGUGAGUGAAGAAGGUCUUCGGAUCGUAAAACUCUGUUAUUAGGGAAGAACAAAUGUGUAAGUAACUAUGCACGUCUUGACGGUACCUAAUCAGAAAGCCACGGCUAACUACGUGCCAGCAGCCGCGGUAAUACGUAGGUGGCAAGCGUUAUCCGGAAUUAUUGGGCGUAAAGCGCGCGUAGGCGGUUUUUUAAGUCUGAUGUGAAAGCCCACGGCUCAACCGUGGAGGGUCAUUGGAAACUGGAAAACUUGAGUGCAGAAGAGGAAAGUGGAAUUCCAUGUGUAGCGGUGAAAUGCGCAGAGAUAUGGAGGAACACCAGUGGCGAAGGCGACUUUCUGGUCUGUAACUGACGCUGAUGUGCGAAAGCGUGGGGAUCAAACAGGAUUAGAUACCCUGGUAGUCCACGCCGUAAACGAUGAGUGCUAAGUGUUAGGGGGUUUCCGCCCCUUAGUGCUGCAGCUAACGCAUUAAGCACUCCGCCUGGGGAGUACGACCGCAAGGUUGAAACUCAAAGGAAUUGACGGGGACCCGCACAAGCGGUGGAGCAUGUGGUUUAAUUCGAAGCAACGCGAAGAACCUUACCAAAUCUUGACAUCCUCUGACCCCUCUAGAGAUAGAGUUUUCCCCUUCGGGGGACAGAGUGACAGGUGGUGCAUGGUUGUCGUCAGCUCGUGUCGUGAGAUGUUGGGUUAAGUCCCGCAACGAGCGCAACCCUUAAGCUUAGUUGCCAUCAUUAAGUUGGGCACUCUAAGUUGACUGCCGGUGACAAACCGGAGGAAGGUGGGGAUGACGUCAAAUCAUCAUGCCCCUUAUGAUUUGGGCUACACACGUGCUACAAUGGACAAUACAAAGGGUAGCGAAACCGCGAGGUCAAGCAAAUCCCAUAAAGUUGUUCUCAGUUCGGAUUGUAGUCUGCAACUCGACUACAUGAAGCUGGAAUCGCUAGUAAUCGUAGAUCAGCAUGCUACGGUGAAUACGUUCCCGGGUCUUGUACACACCGCCCGUCACACCACGAGAGUUUGUAACACCCGAAGCCGGUGGAGUAACCUUUUGGAGCUAGCCGUCGAAGGUGGGACAAAUGAUUGGGG
Molecule: ribosomal RNA, 1458 nt
Filed under: uncultured organism
Description: SSU rRNA
Rfam family: Bacterial small subunit ribosomal RNA
Source: RNAcentral